AGGAAUUUCUCUUUCAUCUUCUGGGCUGUCCAUCUCCCAUCUACAAUUUGCAGAUGAUAUUGUUAUCUUUAUGGAGCCUAUUUUGCAGUACGCUAUGGUUGUUAAACAACUUCUUAGCUGCUUUGAGCUUACAUCUGGUCUUUGAAUUAAUUUCAAUAAGUGUUAUGUUUAUCCUGUCGGCAAUUCAAAUUCAUCAGCUCUAGAGUUUGCUUCCAUCUUCAGUGUUUUGUGGGUUCGCUACCUUUCAACUAUCUCGGCCUUCUUCUUGGUGCUAACCCCCGUUCUGCUCGUACUUGGGAUCUUGUUAUUAAUAAAUUUAGGCAAAGACUUGCUUUAUGGUAGCAUAAGUACCUAUCCUUUGGUGGUCAUUCUGUUCUAAUUAACUCCGUUCUUAACUCUUUACCGUUAUAUAAUCUAUCUAUUUUUCGAGCCCCCAAGGGAGUUAUUCAAAAGCUUGAGAAACUUAGGAGAGCAUUCUUGUGGGGUGGCAAUGAUCACUCUCGUAAAUUACAUAAGGUUAAUUGGAACACUGUAUGUAAGCCCAAGAUUUUUUGAGGUUUAGGUAUUUGCAGUCUUUGUCAUAAGAUUUGGCUUUUUUAGGCAAUUGGUGGUGGUACUAUGGCACUGAAGAAAAGGCUCUAUGGCAUCGCUUAAUUAUUGGAAAAUAUGGAAUCGAUAAAGUUCAGUGAAUUCCAAAUACUUCUUGGAGAAAUAAAAUGUCAACGGUUUGGAGAUGUAUUUCUCAACUCCCAUCCAAUGAUAAGGUUCGUAAUUUGAUUGGCCUUCAUGCAUGUCGUUGGAUUGUUGGGAAUGGGGAAUCUAUUUUUUUCUAGUAUGAUAAAUGGCUCUUUAAUGAUGUUUUAUGCUCUUGAUUUCCUAGCCUUUUCUCUAUUGUUGUGGACAACGAGUUCAAAGUUGUUGAUUUGUGGAAUAAUGGUACAUGGUUCAUCCCUUUUAGAAGAUCGUUGUAUUCUUGGGAAAUGGAUUCUUACAACGAAAUUCUUUGUAAACUUGCCAAUGUUUUUCUUUCCAUCGGGAAAAGUGAUAAGCUGAUUUGGGUUCAUGACUCAUAUGGUAAUUUUUCUAUCAAAAAAUUUUGCUCAUUGUUGGAUUCGGACCCUUUUGAUUAGAAAGUUCGGUUUCAUUCAUUGCGGAAGAUUAUAAUCCCUCCGAAAGUCAAAUGUUUUCUCUGGCUUGCUAUCCUCAAUUCAAUUCCCACGAAGUCUUUCCUAGCUACCAGAGGAGUGUUAUUUGCUGAGAGCCAAAAUCAUUGUGUUUGGUGUGGUCAGGAAGAUGAAACUUGCUCCCACGCCUUAAUCAAUUGUUUCUUCAGCUAGAAGGUCUAGUGUCUUAUCUUGAAUUAGUGGGGUGUUUCUUGGUCUUCCCCUAAUACUGUUUUUCUUUUUAUUUUUUAUUCAGUCUUGGGCAAAUUCUUAUUUUUCUGGAAUCUCUCGUAAAAGGUGGCUUGUUUGUGGGGUGACAUUUUGGUUUUUGUGGUCAGCACAUAACGAACCUAUUUUUUCUAACAAAGUUUGGGAUGCUUAUCAAAUCUUAUUCCUUAUUCAAAUGCGAUCAUUUCUUUGGAUUCGCGUUUGUGAGGGUAUUGAUUGUAUUGAUGAAUUUGGAUGGUGGACAGAGCCUUCUAUAUCUUUUUUUGGUUGAACCCCUCUUCAUCAUCGAAUUGGCAUCUCUAGGCAACCGCCGAAUGAUGGUAAAUUACUUUAUUGGAAGCUAAGUAUUCAUUUCUUCCGAAAUAUGGACGGAGCAACUUAAAUUUAAUGGGGACAGAACUACAAGGAGGAGUCCGAGAUGCUUAUGGAUGAGCAAGGAAGAGUUCUCGUAACAUUUUCCAAAGCUAUUGGGGUAAGAGAUGUUGAAAGGGCAAAGCUUUUAGUUAGGGAGAGAUUUAUGAGCUUGUUAACUUGGAUAAGGAAGGACGAGAACCACUCAUCACCAUUGUAUGAAAUUAAGAAAAGGU
Theobroma cacao (cacao) is the source of this 1978-nucleotide non-coding RNA. Lineage: Eukaryota; Viridiplantae; Streptophyta; Magnoliopsida; Malvales; Malvaceae. The record is from RefSeq and is a predicted model, not a curated record.